AUAAUUAAAAACGUUUUCAUUGUUUAGCAUACGAAAAUUUCUUAUAAUUAAAAAUUUUUAACAUUUUAACGAGAGUAGUGUUUAUACAAAAAAAAUAUAGUAUUUCGAUUUUUUAUAGCAAAAUAAUAAGUAUAGUAUGUAAAAUACACAAAUACAACCGCUUUUCACAGAUUGCAACACGAUACCAUUGUAAUAUAUAUUAUACCAUUAUCUACUAUCUAUAUAUACUGUCUAUAUUACAAAAUUGUUUUACAUAUGUAUUAUAUGUUAUAAUAAGUAUUAUAAUUUAGAUAUUUUAUAUAUUUUGCAU
Long non-coding RNA from Bombus pascuorum, 310 nucleotides. RefSeq lists it as uncharacterized. The record is from RefSeq and is a predicted model, not a curated record. The transcript has 2 exons. Lineage: Eukaryota; Metazoa; Arthropoda; Insecta; Hymenoptera; Apidae.